Long non-coding RNA from Bubalus bubalis (water buffalo), 1419 nucleotides. RefSeq lists it as uncharacterized. Lineage: Eukaryota; Metazoa; Chordata; Mammalia; Artiodactyla; Bovidae. The transcript is spliced from 3 exons. The record is from RefSeq and is a predicted model, not a curated record.
GAAAACAAAACGCCACAGUGAGAGGCGAGUAUGCCAAGCGCUUUUUGCUGAGUCUGAGCUCAGCCCCUCCGGCCGGCCGGGCCGCUGCGGGUGUUGUCCCCGGAGCUCGGGCCCCAUCCGCGGUCCAGGCCUGGGCCUCGGCCUCUUUGCUGAGCGGGGCUGGGCUGGUAGCUGCGUUUUCUUUUCAUCAGCUCCUCAUCAGGGCAAAUGCGUGGUCAGGAUGGAGAACCAGAGACUCAGAGGAUCUACCGCAACCGUUUCCUCCUUGAGAGGCUUCAAAGGCUGCCCGGCGCCCGCGGGAUAAGACCCCAACUUUCGGAAUGUCCUUCAUGGUCUCACGAGGCCAGGGGGUUUGGGUGAGGGUGAGAAAACGGAGAUAGAAAACGCAACGCGAAUCCGACACGUGGUGAUGAUCCGAUCUCCGCCUGGUUCCCCAGCCGCCUUUCAUCUUAUAGUAGGCUGUGCCCCCCAGGCACACAGGCUCCCGGACACCCAACCCACUCCCUGUCCGCAUACCCACAGCCCUGAACUCGAGACAGCGAAACCACCUCCGACCUCCCUGCAUAACCAAAGGGCAAUAACCGACAGUUUCCAUCGCCGCCUCCCUGCUGCCGGAAGAAUCACGGGGCCUCCAGCCCCUUAUCCCCAGUGUCUUUUCCAGCACCCACUGCCCAGCAGGGGCUUAGCAUCAGAAGAGGGACUUAGAAGAGCAGGAAGAAAAUGGGUUGGCAAUGAGAGUCUGCGGGGGAAGCCCCGGCCCUGGGCUCGAUGCGUCCUCCAGGGGAAGCUUCUACUAUUACAGCAUCCUCGGCCCCUCACGUGGUGCUUUUCACAGACUGGAAACCAAAUGUCUGCUGAGUGAAUAUGUAUCCUGAAGAACCAGCCACUCUGGUCCUCAAGGACUGUGCUCACAUCCUGGCUGCUUCACUCCAAAGUUCCAUUAGCCCCUCCAGGGAACCCGGUGAACCUGGACUCUCGGAGCCUGUGAGGCUGACCUGGUGGGUUUCAUCAGUGCCCUCAUGUCUUCCCAAUCCCCACACGGUUUGGCCCCAGGGGAGCAGUGGCGGGAGGUCAGAGGGUCAGGGCAUUUUCCUCCCUGGCCACUUCAGACGGCUGAAUCCUCCAGGGCCAGCCGCUCCACCCCCAACAUGGGGGGUCCUCUCUCUCCACGCGACUCUCCUCCGAGGUUUCUGUCCUGGCUCUGUACCACUUCCUACUAGUGGCAAUGGUAAGGCCACCACUCUGGGUCCCGCCCGUCACUUAGGGAGCCCUGGCCCCCACCCCCAUCUAAAUGUCUGAGUAUGCCAACUGUUCCCUGAUGGGGCCCUGGGGGAUAAACAAGCCAUGUUUCACACCCAGACUACAUGCUUCCGUGUUUCAUCACCAGAGUGGGGAGAGGCCCACUCUGCUCUGAAAUCA